GAUGAACGCUGGCGGCGUGCCUAACACAUGCAAGUCGAACGAAGCACCUGAUACGGAAUCCUUCGGGGUGAAGAAUCUUGUGACUUAGUGGCGGACGGGUGAGUAACGCGUGGGUAACCUGCCUCAUGCAGGGGGGAUAACAGUUAGAAAUGACUGCUAAUACCGCAUAAGCGCACAGUACCGCAUGGUACAGUGUGAAAAGNUUUAUCAGCAUGAGAUGGACCCGCGUCUGAUUAGCUAGUUGGUGAGGUAACGGCUCACCAAGGCGACGAUCAGUAGCCGACUUGAGAGGUUGAACGGCCACAUUGGGACUGAGACAGGCCCAGACUCCUACGGGAGGCAGCAGUGGGAAUAUUGCACAAUGGGCGAAAGCC
RNAcentral lists this ribosomal RNA (374 nucleotides) under uncultured bacterium. RNAcentral describes it as "bacterial SSU rRNA". It matches the Rfam family "Bacterial small subunit ribosomal RNA", at positions 28 to 383 of the family's 1533-position model. The record is from RNAcentral.